ACGUAGGGUGCAAGCGUUAAUCGGAAUUACUGGGCGUAAAGCGUGCGCAGGCGGUUUCGUAAGUCUGUCGUGAAAUCCCCGGGCUUAACCUGGGAAUGGCGAUGGAGACUGCGAGGCUAGAGUUUGGCAGAGGGGGGUAGAAUUCCACGUGUAGCAGUGAAAUGCGUAGAUAUCAGGAGGAAUACCGAUGGCGAAGGCAGGUCUCUGGGC
Molecule: ribosomal RNA, 210 nt
Filed under: uncultured prokaryote
Description: partial 16S ribosomal RNA
Rfam family: Bacterial small subunit ribosomal RNA
Source: RNAcentral